GUCCUUUUGAAAAUAAUUUAAGGUCUAACCUGCCCACUGAGGAAUUAAAGGGCCGCAGUAUUUUAACUGUGCAAAGGUAGCAUAAUAAUUAGUUUCUUAAUUAGAAGCUGGUAUGAAUGGUUGAACGAGAGAUUGACUGUCUCAAUUUAUUAAUUAGAAUUUUAUUUUUAAGUCAAAAAGCUUAAAUUUAUUUAAAAGACGAGAAGACCCUAUAGAGUUUUAUAUAAAUAUUAAUUUUUUUAUUUAGAAUUUAAUUUUUUUUUAUUUGUAUUUUGUUGGGGUGAUAUAUAAAUUUAAUAAACUUUAUAUUUUUAUUAACAUUAAUUUAUGAUUUUUUGAUCCAUUUAUUAUGAUUAAAAGAAAAAAUUACCUUAGGGAUAACAGCGUUAUUUUUUUUUAGAGUUCAAAUCGAAAAAAAAGAUUGCGACCUCGAUGUUGGAUUAAAGUUAAUUUUUGGUGUAGAAGCUAAAAAAUUAGGUCUGUUCGACCUUUAAAACUUUACAUGAUCUGAGUUUAGACCGGCGUGAGCCAGGUUGGUUUCUAUCUUUAAAAAAUAUAAAUAUUUUAGUACGAAAGGACCAAAUAUUUUUAAAAUUUAAUUUAAAAUGAAUU
Molecule: ribosomal RNA, 612 nt
Filed under: Hydraena circulata
Lineage: Eukaryota; Metazoa; Arthropoda; Insecta; Coleoptera; Hydraenidae
Description: partial 16S ribosomal RNA
Rfam family: Bacterial large subunit ribosomal RNA
Source: RNAcentral